GACGAACGCUGGCGGCGUGCCUAAUACAUGCAAGUCGAACGCUUUUUCUUUCACCGGAGCUUGCUCCACCGAAAGAAAAAGAGUGGCGAACGGGUGAGUAACACGUGGGUAACCUGCCCAUCAGAAGGGGAUAACACUUGGAAACAGGUGCUAAUACCGUAUAACACUAUUUUCCGCAUGGAAGAAAGUUGAAAGGCGCUUUUGCUGCACUGAUGGAUGGACCCGCGGUGCAUUAGCUAGUUGGUGAGGUAACGGCUCACCAAGGCAACGAUGCAUAGCCGACCUGAGAGGGUGAUCGGCCACACUGGGACUGAGACACGGCCCAGACUCCUACGGGAGGCAGCAGUAGGGAAUCUUCGGCAAUGGACGAAAGUCUGACCGAGCAACGCCGCGUGAGUGAAGAAGGUUUUCGGAUCGUAAAACUCUGUUGUUAGAGAAGAACAAGGAUGAGAGUAGAACGUUCAUCCCUUGACGGUAUCUAACCAGAAAGCCACGGCUAACUACGUGCCAGCCGCCGCUGUAA
RNAcentral lists this ribosomal RNA (523 nucleotides) under uncultured bacterium. RNAcentral describes it as "partial 16S ribosomal RNA". It matches the Rfam family "Bacterial small subunit ribosomal RNA", at positions 28 to 523 of the family's 1533-position model. The record is from RNAcentral.